RNAcentral lists this ribosomal RNA (554 nucleotides) under uncultured bacterium. RNAcentral describes it as "partial 16S ribosomal RNA". It matches the Rfam family "Bacterial small subunit ribosomal RNA", at positions 355 to 900 of the family's 1533-position model. The record is from RNAcentral.
UAGGGAAUCUUCCACAAUGGACGCAAGUCUGAUGGAGCAACGCCGCGUGAGUGAAGAAGGUUUUCGGACCGUAAAGCUCUGUUGCUGGUGAAGAAGGAUAGAGGUAGUAACUGGCCUUUAUUUGACGGUAAUCAACCAGAAAGUCACGGCUAACUACGUGCCAGCAGCCGCGGUAAUACGUAGGUGGCAAGCGUUGUCCGGAUUUAUUGGGAGUAAAGCGAGCGCAGGCGGAAGAAUAAGUCUGAUGUGAAAGCCCUCGGCUUAACCGAGGAAUUGCAUCGGAAACUGUUUUCUUGAGUGCAGAAGAGGAGAGUAGAACUCCAUGUGUAGCGGUGGAAUGCGUAGAUAUAUGGAAGAAUACCAGUGGCGAAGGCGGCUCUCUGGUCUGCAACUGACGCUGAGGCUCGAAAGCAUGGGUAGCGAACAGGAUUAGAUACCCUGGUAGUCCAUGCCGUAAACGAUGAGUGCUAAGUGUUGGGAGGCUUCCGCCUCUCAGUGCUGCAGCUAACGCAUUAAGCACUCCGCCUGGGGGAGUACGACCGCAAGGUUGAAAC